This is a long non-coding RNA of Grammomys surdaster, 855 nucleotides long. RefSeq lists it as uncharacterized. The record is from RefSeq and is a predicted model, not a curated record. NCBI's taxonomy places the organism in Eukaryota, Metazoa, Chordata, Mammalia, Rodentia, Muridae. The transcript has 5 exons.
CGGAGGUCCUCUCCAGACCGCGCCACCGCCACUUUGUCCUGAGCAGGGAAAGGCUCGUUCAGUAGAUCCCGAAGCUGUAACUCGAGAGGUUGAAAGCCAGCCCAGCAGGCACGACAGCCCCUGGGAGCCCCAAAGGGGAACACGUCUGAGAUCCUGGAGACCCUGGAGACGGACAAGACACAAGGACCUGGAUGUGGAUGGGCAGAUCAAAGGUCACAGUGGGAAAGCUCAUGCAGUAUACGCUGAAACAGCUUGGCAGAUACCGUGCCUGUAAGUCCCAGUACUAAGACGCAGAAGAGGGAACGUUUUAAGCCUGGACUUGCCUUGAAUUCUUAGCAAUCCUCCUGCCUCAGCCUCAGGAGCACUGGAAUUGCAGACAUGCACCAUCAAGCCUCGCUUUACCUCUAAAACUUUGCUACAUUCAAGAUGGCAUGUGGACAACUUCAAACCUACUAUAAAGUUGUCCACACGCACGGCCUCAGGAGUAACACGACCGGAACUGCUCAGGACUCAGGAUUCUUCUUCGGCUCUGGCGGUCUCUAAGAACAGAGGGCACAGUGCUGCAUUAGGGCAGCAAACAAAAGCAUCCCCUCCCAACUCAGACAGCUGCUCCAGGGAGGACACAGAAGGGUCGUGGUCUUUUAAUAUGACUGGCAGUUGUAAAGUUUUGUCUUGAAUUCGUCGUGAGCGUCUCACUGGUAUCAGAAACUUUAGCUCUUUAAAUGUAGAAUUUUUAUCAUGUUGUAUCUUUUUAAUACUUUGCAACUGUGGCUAAAUCUGUGAGCUUUUCCAUUUCUAGCAAUGAUUUUUUAAACACCAAAUGGGAUUAAAAAAAAAACAAUAAUUGGAAAAACA